RNAcentral lists this ribosomal RNA (429 nucleotides) under Gemmatimonadota bacterium. RNAcentral describes it as "Gemmatimonadetes bacterium partial 16S ribosomal RNA". It matches the Rfam family "Bacterial small subunit ribosomal RNA", at positions 355 to 776 of the family's 1533-position model. Lineage: Bacteria; Pseudomonadati; Gemmatimonadota. The record is from RNAcentral.
UAGGGAAUCUUCGGCAAUGGACGAAAGUCUGACCGAGCAACGCCGCGUGAGUGAAGAAGGUUUUCGGAUCGUAGAACUCUGUUGUUAGAGAAGAACAAGGACGUUAGUAACUGAACGUCCCCUGACGGUAUCUAACCAGAAAGCCACGGCUAACUACGUGCCAGCAGCCGCGGUAAUACGUAGGUGGCAAGCGUUGUCCGGAUUUAUUGGGCGUAAAGCGAGCGCAGGCGGUUUCUUAAGUCUGAUGUGAAAGCCCCCGGCUCAACCGGGGAGGGGCAUUGGAAACUGGGAGACUUGAGUGCAGAAGAGGAGAGUGGAAUUCCAUGUGUAGCGGUGAAAUGCGUAGAUAUAUGGAGGAACACCAGUGGCGAAGGCGGCUCUCUGGUCUGUAACUGACGCUGAGGCUCGAAAGCGUGGGGAGCAAACAGG